CACCAUCAAGUAAGAAGCCUUGUCGUGGCGAUGGUGCUUUCUACUAAUUCUUA
This 53-nucleotide non-coding RNA is filed under the name unclassified sequences. The record is from RNAcentral.